AUGAUUCUGGGGGGUCUUCUCCUCUGCCUGGUGACAGCCCCCCUGGGUGUCCUGUCCCAGGUGCAGCUGCAGGAGUCUGGCCCAGGACUGGUGGCCCCCUCCCAGACCCUCUCCCUCACCUGCUCUGUCUCCGGAUUCUCCAUCACAACCAAAUAUUAUUGCUGGGCAUGGAUCUGCCAGACCCCAGGGAAGGGCCUGCUCUGGUUGAGGCGCAUGUGUUAUCAUGGAGGCACCAACUACAGCCCAUCCCUCACGAGCUGCGUCUCCAUCACCAGAGACACGAACAAGAACCAGUUCUCCCUGCAGCUGAGCUAA
Non-coding RNA from Sorex araneus (European shrew), 315 nucleotides. The record is from the annotation of a RefSeq genome assembly. Lineage: Eukaryota; Metazoa; Chordata; Mammalia; Eulipotyphla; Soricidae.